Long non-coding RNA from Rhopalosiphum padi (bird cherry-oat aphid), 699 nucleotides. RefSeq lists it as uncharacterized. The transcript is spliced from 4 exons. Lineage: Eukaryota; Metazoa; Arthropoda; Insecta; Hemiptera; Aphididae. The record is from RefSeq and is a predicted model, not a curated record.
AGAAUUUGUCACAAAGCUGAUGGGAAAUGUGCCAGCACUCGGCUUCGUUUUAACCCGGAGGAAGAUUUGCAGCAUCAAAAAGAAAUUCAACUGAUAAUCAACUGUCGAAAGGAUUUGUUUUGAAGAAGAAUUUGUCACAAAGCUGAUGGGAAAUGUGGCGGCACUCGGCUUCGUUUCAACCCGGGGGAAGAUUGGCAGCAUCAAUAGAAGCUCAUCUUAAUGUCAACUGUUGAAAGGAUUUGUUUGCAUUAUAUUAUAAGUUUAAAAUACAUUUAAUCUGCAUAUUAGUUGAAGUUUUAUAGGAACAGAACAUUUAACUGGAUCAUGGACUAUCCACCGACGAAGAAUUUGUCAUUGAGCUGAUGGAAAAUGUGUGGCACUCGGCUUCGUUUCAACCCGGAGGAAGAUUUGCAGCAUCAAAAAGAAAUUCAACGGAUAAUCAACUGCCCAAAGAAUUUUGAAGAAGAAGUUGUCACAAAACUGAUGGAAUAUGUGUCGGCACUCGGCUGUAUUUCAACACGGAGGACGUCUGGCAGCAACAAAAAGAAAUUCAACUGAUGAUCAACUGCCCAAAGGAUUUGUUGUGAAGAAGAAUUUGUCAUUGAGUUGAUGGAAAAUGUGUGGCACUCGGCUUCGUUUCAACCCGGAGGAAGAUUUGCAGCAUCAAAAAGAAAUUCAACGGAUAAUCAACUGCCCAAA